GCACUCUCGUUUAGAUUGAAGGAGCUUGCUCCUGAUUGAUAAACAUUUGAGUGAGUGGCGGACGGGUGAGUAACACGUGGGUAACCUGCCCUAAAGUGGGGGAUAACAUUUGGAAACAGAUGCUAAUACCGCAUAAAACCUAACACCGCAUGGUGUAGGGUUGAAAGAUGGUUUCGGCUAUCACUUUAGGAUGGACCCGCGGUGCAUUAGUUAGUUGGUGAGGUAAAGGCUCACCAAGACCGUGAUGCAUAGCCGACCUGAGAGGGUAAUCGGCCACACUGGGACUGAGACACGGCCCAAACUCCUACGGGAGGCAGCAGUAGGGAAUCUUCCACAAUGGGCGCAAGCCUGAUGCAGCCAUGCCGCGUGUGUGAAGAAGGCCUUCGGGUUGUAAAACUCUGUUGUUGGAGAAGAAUGGUCGGCAGAGUAACUGUUGUCGGCGUGACGGUAUCCAACCAGAAAGCCACGGCUAACUACGUGCCAGCAGCCGCGGUAAUACGUAGGUGGCAAGCGUUGUCCGGAAUUAUUGGGCGUAAAGCGAGCGCAGGCGGUUUUUUAAGUCUGAUGUGAAAGCCCUCGGCUUAACCGAGGAAGUGCAUCGGAAACUGGGAAACUUGAGUGCAGAAGAGGACAGUGGAACUCCAUGUGUAGCGGUGAAAUGCGUAGAUAUAUGGAAGAACACCAGUGGCGAAGGCGGCUGUCUGGUCUGUAACUGACGCUGAGGCUCGAAAGCAUGGGAGCGAACAGGAUUAGAUACCCUGGUAGUCCACGCCGUAAACGAUGGAUGCUGGAUGUGGAGGGUUUCCGCCCUUCAGUGCCGCAGCUAACGCAUUAAGCAUUCCGCCUGGGGAGUACGACCGCAAGGUUGAAACUCAAAGGAAUUGACGGGGGCCCGCACAAGCGGUGGAGUAUGUGGUUUAAUUCGACGCAACGCGAAGAACCUUACCUAGACUUGACAUCUCCUUGACCGAUGCCUAAUCGCAUCUUUCCCUUCGGGGACAGAAGUGACAGGUGGUGCAUGGUUGUCGUCAGCUCGUGCUGUGAGAUGUUGGGUUAAGUCCCGCAACGAGCGCAACCCUUGUCUUUAGUUGCCAUCAUUAAGUUGGGCACUCUAGAGAGACUGCCAGGGAUAACCUGGAGGAAGGUGGGGAUGACGUCAAAUCAUCAUGCCCCUUAUGCCUAGGGCUACACACGUGCUACAAUGGGUGGUACAGAGGGCAGCCAAGCCGUGA
RNAcentral lists this ribosomal RNA (1232 nucleotides) under human gut metagenome. RNAcentral's name for it is "bacterial SSU rRNA". It matches the Rfam family "Bacterial small subunit ribosomal RNA", at positions 53 to 1260 of the family's 1533-position model. The record is from RNAcentral.